UGUGAGUUCAUAUAUGCUUCAGCACGAC
This 28-nucleotide non-coding RNA is filed under the name Mus musculus (house mouse). The record is from RNAcentral. Lineage: Eukaryota; Metazoa; Chordata; Mammalia; Rodentia; Muridae.